CGGGGUGAGUAAUGUCUGGGAAACUGCCUGAUGGAGGGGGAUAACUACUGGAGACGGUAGCUAAUACCGCAUAACGUCGCAAGACCAAAGAGGGGGACCUUCGGGCCUCUUGCCAUCGGAUGUGCCCAGAUGGGAUUAGCUAGUAGGUGGGGUAACGGCUCACCUAGGCGACGAUCCCUAGCUGGUCUGAGAGGAUGCCAGCCACACUGGAACUGAGACACGGUCCAG
RNAcentral lists this ribosomal RNA (228 nucleotides) under uncultured bacterium. RNAcentral describes it as "partial 16S ribosomal RNA". It matches the Rfam family "Bacterial small subunit ribosomal RNA", at positions 104 to 334 of the family's 1533-position model. The record is from RNAcentral.